UGCCAGCCGCCGCGGUAAUACGGGGGGUGCAAGCGUUAAUCGGAAUUACUGGGCGUAAAGCGCGCGUAGGCGGUUUGUUAAGUCAGAUGUGAAAGCCCUGGGCUCAACCUGGGAAUUGCAUUUGAUACUGGCAGACUAGAGUAUGGUAGAGGGAAGUGGAAUUCCGGGUGUAGCGGUGAAAUGCGUAGAGAUCAGAAGGAACACCGGUGGCGAAGGCGACUUCCUGGACUAUUACUGACACUGAGGAGCGAAAGCGUGGGGAGCAAACAGGAUUAGAUA
This 279-nucleotide ribosomal RNA is filed under the name uncultured bacterium. RNAcentral's name for it is "partial 16S ribosomal RNA". It matches the Rfam family "Bacterial small subunit ribosomal RNA", at positions 506 to 784 of the family's 1533-position model. The record is from RNAcentral.